UUCCGGUUGAUCCUGCCGGAGGCCACUGCUAUUGGGAUCCGAUUAAGCCAUGCGAGUCGAGAGGGUUCGGCCCUCGGCAGACUGCUCAGUAACACGUGGAUACCUAACCUUAGGUGGAAGAUAACCUCGGGAAACUGAGAACAAUAUUCCAUAGAUCUAGGAUGCUGGAAUGCAUCUAGAUUGAAAGUUCCGACGCCUAAGGAUGGGUCUGCGGACUAUCAGGUUGUAGUCAGGGUAAAGACCUGACUAGCCUACGACGGAUAUGGGUUGUGAGAGCAAUAGCCCAGAGACGAUAUCUGAGACACGAUAUCGGGCCCUACGGGGCGCAGCAGGCGCGAAAUCUUCACAAUGUGCGAAAGCACGAUGAGGGGAUCCCAAGUGCUGGCACGUAAGUGUCAGCUGUUUCUUAGUCUAAAAAACUGAGAGAGUAAGGGCUGGGUAAGACGGGUGCCAGCCGCCGCGGUAAUACCUGCAGCUCAAGUGGUGGCCGCUAUUAUUGGGCCUAAAACGUCCGUAGCCUGUUUAGUAAAUGCCUGGGUAAAUCGUGUAGCUUAACUAUACGACUUCCGGGUAGACUGCUAAACUUGAGACCGGGAGAGGCUAGAGGUACUCCUGGGGUAGAGGUGAAAUUCUGUAAUCCUAGGGGGACCACCAGUGGCGAAGGCGUCUAGCUAGAACGGGUCUGACGGUGAGGGACGAAGCCCUGGGGCACAAACCGGAUUAGAUACCCGGGUAGUCCAGGGUGUAAACGCUGCUUGCUUGAUGUUAGUUGGGCUCCGAGCCCAACUAGUGUCGGAGAGAAGUUGUUAAGCAAGCUGCCUGGGAAGUACGGUCGCAAGGCUGAAACUUAAAGGAAUUGGCGGGGGAGCACAGCAACGGGUGGAGCGUGCGGUUUAAUUGGAGUCAACGCCGGA
RNAcentral lists this ribosomal RNA (914 nucleotides) under uncultured archaeon. Its description in RNAcentral is "bacterial SSU rRNA". It matches the Rfam family "Archaeal small subunit ribosomal RNA", at positions 1 to 922 of the family's 1478-position model. The record is from RNAcentral.